AGCCUGAUGCGCCAUGCCGCGGUGUGAAGAAGGCCUUCGGGUUGUAAAGCACUUUCAGUCGUGAGGAAGGUGGUGUAGUUAAUAGCUGUAUCAUUUGACGUUAGCGACAGAAGAAGCACCGGCUAACUCCGUGCCAGCAGCCGCGGUAAUACGGAGGGUGCGAGCGUUAAUCGGAAUUACUGGGCGUAAAGCGCAUGCAGGUGGUUUGUUAAGUCAGAUGUGAAAGCCCGGGGCUCAACCUCGGAAUAGCAUUUGAAACUGGCAGACUAGAGUACUGUAGAGGGGGGUAGAAUUUCAGGUGUAGCGGUGAAAUGCGUAGAGAUCUGAAGGAAUACCGGUGGCGAAGGCGGCCCCCUGGACAGAUACUGACACUCAGAUGCGAAAGCGUGGGGAGCAAACAGGAUUAGAUACCCUGGUAGUCCACGCCGUAAACGAUGUCUACUUGGAGGUUGUGGCCUUGAGCCGUGGCUUUCGGAGCUAACGCGUUAAGUAGACCGCCUGGGGAGUACGGUCGCAAGAUUAAAACUCAAAUGAAUUGACGGGGGCCCGCACAAGCGGUGGAGCAUGUGGUUUAAUUCGAUGCAACGCGAAGAACCUUACCUACUCUUGACAUCCAGAGAACUUUCCAGAGAUGGAUUGGUGCCUUCGGGAACUCUGAGACAGGUGCUGCAUGGCUGUCGUCAGCUCGUGUUGUGAAAUGUUGGGUUAAGUCCCGCAACGAGCGCAACCCUUAUCCUUGUUUGCCAGCGAGUAAUGUCGGGAACUCCAGGGAGACUGCCGGUGAUAAACCGGAGGAAGGUGGGGACGACGUCAAGUCAUCAUGGCCCUUACGAGUAGGGCUACACACGUGCUACAAUGGCGCAUACAGAGGGCAGCAAGCUAGCGAUAGUGAGCGAAUCCCAAAAAGUGCGUCGUAGUCCGGAUUGGAGUCUGCAACUCGACUCCAUGAAGUCGGAAUCGCUAGUAAUCGUGGAUCAGAAUGCCACGGUGAAUACGUUCCCGGGCCUUGUACACACCGCCCGUCACACCAUGGGGAGUGGGCUGCAAAAGAAGUAGGUAGUUUAACCUUCGGGAGGACGCUUACCACUUUGUGGUUCAUGACUGGGGUGAAUCGUAA
Molecule: ribosomal RNA, 1117 nt
Filed under: Vibrio sp. 754M
Lineage: Bacteria; Pseudomonadati; Pseudomonadota; Gammaproteobacteria; Vibrionales; Vibrionaceae
Description: bacterial SSU rRNA
Rfam family: Bacterial small subunit ribosomal RNA
Source: RNAcentral